This is a long non-coding RNA of Oncorhynchus tshawytscha (Chinook salmon), 1981 nucleotides long. NCBI's taxonomy places the organism in Eukaryota, Metazoa, Chordata, Actinopteri, Salmoniformes, Salmonidae. The record is from Ensembl.
ACAGCGUUGUACCAGAUCUUCAGUUUCUUUGCAUGGAAUAGACAUUAUUUCUCUGAACAAGAAUAGACUGACGACUUUCAGAAGAAAUCUUGUUAGGGAAAGGGAGCAGCAUUGGGAAGCUUGAAUGAAGGAGGUGCCCAAUGUAAACUGCCUAUUACUCAGGCCCAGAAGCUAGGAUAUGCAUAUAAUUGUUAGUAUUGGGUAGAAACACUCUAAAGUUUCCAAACUGUUAAAAUAAUGUCUGUGAGUAUAGCAGAACUGAUAUGGCAGGUGAAAACCUGAGACAAAUCCAUCCAGGAAGUUGAUUUUUUUUUGAUGUGGCUGUUUUUCAAUUCAAUGCCUAUACAGAAUGUAAUGGGUAGGAGCCAGAUUGAAGUUCCUAUGGCUUCCACUAGAUGUCAACAAUCUUUAGACAUGCUUUCAGGCUUUUAUUUUGAAAAACAACGAGUAAAAAUACCUUUUGGUCAGUGGACAGGCUGAAGCAGGCAGAGCUGGAUUGGGCGCGUGACCGUGAGUGCGCUGUUCACUGUUUUUCCUUUCUAUUGAAAAUGCUAUUGUCCAGUUGAAAUGUUAUUAUUUAGACAAUAGACAACCUGAGGAUUAAUUAUAAACAUCGUUUGACACGUUUCGACGAACUUUACCGGUACAAUUAGGAUGUAUUCGUCUGCCUGUUGUGACCGCCUUUGAGUUUUUUGGAUAUGAAGAGGGACUUUCUUGUGAGAGCAACCAGAUGAAGAUUAUCAAAGGCAAGUGAUUAAUUUUAUCGCUAUUUCCGACUUGCGUGACUCCUCUACUGAAAAAUGUUUGUAUGCUUUUGAAGCGGGGCGCUGUCCAAAGAUAAUCACAUGGUAUGCUUUCGCCUUAAAGCCUUUUUGAAAUCUGACACAGCGGCUGGAUUAACAAGAGGUCCACAGACGACGCAAGUGUAAUCACACUGGAAACUUCAGGAAACAGCAGAGGGAGCACAACCCAUCCACAUUGACGAUGGGACAGUAGUGGAGAAGGUGGAAAGUUGUUUAAGUUCCUCGGCGUACACAUCACAGACAAACUGAAAUGGUCCACCCACAUAGAUAGUGUGGUGAAGAAGGAGCAACAGCGCCUGUCACCAUAAACACUCACAAACUUUUACAAAUGCACAAUCGAGAGCAUCCUUUCGGGCUGUAUCACCGCCUGGUAUGGCAACUGCUCCGCCCACAACCGUAAGGCUCUCCAGAGGGUAGUGAGGUCUGCACAACGCAUCACCGGGGGCAAAAUACCUGCCUUCCAGGACACCUACACCACCCGAUGUCACAGGAAGGCCAAAAAGAUCAUCAAGGACAACAAUCACCCGAGCCACUGCCUGUUCACCCCACUACCAUCCAGAAGGUGAGGUCAGUACAGGUGCAUCAAAGCUGGGACCGAGAGACUGAAAAACAGCUUCUAUCUCAAGGCCAUCAGACUGUUAAACAGCCAUCACUAACAUUGAGUGGCUGCUGCCAACAUACUGGCUCAAUAUCUAGCCACUUUAAUAACAAAAAAUUCUAUGUCAUAAAUGUAUCACAAUUCACUAAAACAAUGCCACUUCAUAUGAUGUUUACAUACCCUACAUUACUCAUCUCAUAUGUAUAUACUGUACUCUAUACCAUUUACUGCAUCUUGCCUACGCAGCACGGCCAUCGUUCAUCCAUAUAUUUAUAUGUACAUUUUCUUAUUCAUUCCUUUACACUCGUGUGUAUAAGGUAGUUGUUGUGAAAUUGUUAGAUAUUACUGCAUGGUCGGAACUAGAAGCACAAGCAUUUCGCUACCCUCGCAUUAACAUCUGCUAACCAUGUGUAUGUCUGCUAACAUCUGCUAACCAUGUGUUUGAUGAUCCAGAUACUCAACUAGUCUAAAGAAGGCCAGUUUUAUUGCUACUUUAAUCAGAACAGUUCUCAGAUAUGCUAACAUAAUUAGAAAAUAGUUUUCUAAUGAUCAAUUAGCCUUUUAAAAUGAUAAACUUGGG